Molecule: non-coding RNA, 6063 nt
Organism: Oryctolagus cuniculus (rabbit)
Lineage: Eukaryota; Metazoa; Chordata; Mammalia; Lagomorpha; Leporidae
Source: RefSeq, a predicted model, not a curated record
GGGAGGAGCCGAGGAGGGGAAAAUGUGACAGCCGCAGCCCCGCCUUGAGAAGCAAGGUCCCGACUCCCAGGGCACAGGGCGAGCGGCUGGAGGGCUAAGUUCAGGUCUUGGCGGCCGCAGGCCCCACCUCUGCCGUCCACCCCGGCCCCGCCUCGGCGCCCAAGCGCUGGCCGCGGUGCUGAAACUCGGUCUCCGCGCAGGGCGGCCGAGGGGGCGGGGCUCCCUGGAGCGCUGAGCCGGGAAAGGGGAGGGGGCAGGGCGGCGCCUCUGGCCGGAAACCUUGGCAGUCGCAGAGCAGGCCGGAGGCACCAGAUAGGCCUGGCUAGAGCCGGCGCAGGCCACCGGCCAACGUUCCCCGACGAAGCCAAGAUUGUCCUUGUCCCUGGCAAGCCUCUUCCUCCCACCUUGGAGAGACCUUCCCCUUGGGCCCUGACCUCGGCCUUCUCCCCAAAACUUGAGGAGUGACCCACCUGCGGGACCUACAACCACAAAGGCGCGCCCUCACCAUGGCGAAGCUACUGCCGGCCCAGGAGGCAGCCAAGAUCUACCACACCAACUACGUGCGCAACGCGCGCGCCGUGGGCGUGAUGUGGGGCACACUCACCAUCUGCUUCUCGGUGCUGGUCAUGGCCCUCUUCAUCCAGCCCUACUGGAUCGGCGACAGCGUCAGCACACCGCAGGCAGGCUACUUCGGACUCUUCUCCUACUGCGUGGGCAAUGUGCUGUCCUCCGAGCUCAUCUGCAAGGGAGGCCCGCUGGAUUUCUCCUCCAUCCCCUCCAGAGCCUUCAAGACCGCCAUGUUCUUUGUGGCCUUGGCCAUGUUCCUCAUCAUUGGCUCCAUCAUCUGCUUCAGCUUGUUCUUCGUCUGCAACACGGCCACUGUCUACAAAAUCUGCGCAUGGAUGCAGCUGGCUGCGGCCACAGGCCUGAUGAUUGGCUGUCUGGUCUACCCCGACGGCUGGGACUCCAGCGAGGUGCGGCGCAUGUGUGGGGAACAGACGGGCAAGUACACGCUGGGCCACUGCACCAUCCGCUGGGCUUUCAUGCUGGCCAUCCUCAGUAUCGGCGACGCCCUCAUCCUCUCCUUCCUGGCGUUCGUGCUGGGCUACCGGCAGGACAAGCUGCUCCCCGACGACUACAAGGCAGAUGGGAAAGAGGAAGUGUGAAGCCGCUGGAGCCGGGGGCGGUCUCCCAUGUUUCGGACAAUGGAAAAUUCGGGAAUGUAGCUCAUCAGUCAGCAGCUUCCUUCCAAACCUCCUCUUCAUUGCGGUCGGCAGCUCGGCCUGACGUGUGAAGUCUUUCAUUCCGGGCUUCGAGCGUGCGGGAUCCCAGGACCCUUCCCGGGGGCAGCAGUCUCUCCUAGCCCCUCACCCAGCAAGUCGCUUCAUCCUCGGGUGGCCCGUCCUCUCUACAGAGAGGGUUGGAUGGGGGCCUUCCCGAGGGCCUGGCCAGGGCGGCACCCCUGACAGCUUGCGCAAGUCUUUGAGGGCUGCCGUGGACAGAGGCGGUGAGGAUUAAGGAGCGCCAAUGCUUCUCCCUUCUCAUACUGUUUUCUCACUGUUGCUCAGAGAGGGGGAAGGAGUGGAGAGGCUACUGGAAUCUGAACCCUUGCACGCAUCUGGGAGGCUAACAAAGCCCGGGUGAACGUGGGGUCUGCCGCCUCUUGCGGGGUGGGCGUUUGGCUCCGUGGGUAAGAAGCAUCCGUGGGUGUGACGCUUGGGACACCAGCAUCACAUACGGGAGCGCCUGGGUUCAAGUCCUGGCUCUGCUUCUGAUUCCAGCUUCCUGCCACUGCACUCCCUGGGGGGCAGCAGGUGCUGGCUCACGUACUUGGGUCCCCGUCGUCCUCAUGUGACACCCAGAUCGAGUUCUUGGCUCCAGGUUUUAGCCUGGCCCAGGCCCGCUGCUGCGGGCUUCUGGGGGAAUGAACCAGCAGAUGGCAGAUGUCUGUGCAUCUGCUUCUGUCUCUCUGCCUUUGAAGUAAAUAAAUACUUUUAACAAACUCUAAAAGGGGCUGGCGCUGUGGUGUAGCCGGUAAAGCCGCUGCCUGCAGUGCCGGCAUCCUAUGUGGGCACCGGUUCGAGACCCGGCUGCUCCACUUCCGAUCCAGCUCUCUGCUGUGGCCUGGGAAAGCAGUGGAGGAUGGCCCAAGUCCUUGGGGCCCUGCACCCACAUGGGAGACCCGGAGGGAGUUCCUGGCUUCGGAUCGGCACAGCUACGGCCGUUGCGGCCAACUGGGGAGCAAACCAGCAGACAGAUCUCUCCCUCUCCCUUUCUCUCUGCCUCUCCUUCUCUUUCUGUGUAACUCUGACUUUCAAAUAAAUAAAUCUUAAAAAAAAAAAAACAAAAAACAAAAAAAAAAACCUCUAACAAAACUCUCAAGACUAAUUUGACUUUUCUCCCUGGGAACCCAGAAUCACAAUUCCUUGUCAUAUCCAGGGACUUAACCAGCAUUGGCUCCCAGCUUCCAAAUCUUGUGACUUACGGCUGAGUAAUUCGUGAUAGGAAUAGAUGACCUUUCUUGUCGCGAACUUUUUGGAUAAUGCAUAUUCAAUGGUGAGUACUUCAAUGGGCAGCCUCAGUUUAGGUAGCAAAUGCCAAGACAAUGACAGGGAUCUCAGGCGAUCCCCUACCUGGGAGAUGGCAGCUGGAGACAGGCCUUUGUUGGUGAUCUCUGAGAAACAAGAUCCAGCCAUUGUGUGUGUCCAGCUACAGUUGGUAAAGGACAAAACCGUAAUGAAUUCUGCUGCUUGCUCCAGCCACGAUCAGUGUGACGUGGAAGUUCUCUUAUCCUUGCUGGUGGGCUUUAUUUAACCACUGCACCCCACAACCUGCCAGUCACCGUGCUGUUUAAUCUUCAGAUAGGCCAGGAAUGUGCUUCAGAAUCGUCCCAGUUGAAUUGUUGGCAAAGGAAACUAUUAUAAUGGGAUUUAACUUUGACACUUGGUUCAUAGCAUCUUUUUAUUUUUCCCCCUGAAGAUCUAUUUAUUUAUUUGAAAGGCAGAGAGAGGGGCUGGCACUGUGGCAUGGUGGGCAAAGCUGCUGCCUUCGGCACUGGCAUCCCAUGUGGGUACUGGUUCGAGUCCUGGCUGCUCUACUUCCAAUCCAGCUUCCUGCUAAUGUGCCUGGGAAGGCAGCAGAACCUGGAAGAAGCUCCUGCCUCCUGGCUGUGAUCUGGCCCAGCCCUGGCCAUGUGGUCAUUUGGGGAUUUUGAACCAGAGGAUGGAUCAAAUAAAAAAAGAAAGGGGGAGAGAGUGAGAGAGAAAGCAAGGAAUCUUCCAUCUGCUGGUUUACUCCCUAAAUGGCUGCAACAGCUGGGGCAGGGCCAGGCUGAAGACAGGAGCUCCAUCCAGGUCUCCCAUGUGGGUGGCAAGGACCCACAUACUUGAGCUGCUGUCCAUUGCUUCCAAGGUACAUUAGCAGGGAGCUCCCCUUGAGUUAUUUCGCCCAAGUAGAAACUCUAGUAGUCUUCAGAAACUACUGGAGUUCAGGUGCCUCUACCUGAACUCAGGUGCCCGCACCUGCUCUUGCUGGGACCCGUGAGUUUGAGCAAAGCUGCAGAUGUCUUGAUCAGUGACCAGAACUGGAGAAGGCCUUGCCAAUCUGUGAGCCCUGCGACCCGGAUUUCAUAGCUUGCGUUGUCUUCAGGGAAAACAAGAAUUCAGCCUAGUAGUAACCAUGACUACUGUUCAGACACCUACUAAUUAACCACUCCUUCCAAGAGGCUUCCCUUUUUAUUCUUAAAGGAGACAUCCAACCUCCUUCAUCUUUGAAAGUUUAAAGAGUAAAAUGAGGCCUCUUACCAAGUUGCUUGUUUCUGGCUAGCCCUGCCUUUGGCUAGGGGCAGAGAGAUGAUUUCGGCGUCCUUGCUUUCUCCACAAUGACUAGCCCUGAGCAAGGAAGCUUGAGGGAGGAAGGACCAGACAUGGAUAGCCGUGAACUUGCGUAUCUUAAAUGCUUUCAUUGACUUACGACCCGUUAUUACUGCUACACAAGCUUCUCUAGACCUUAGUGACUUAAAACCCCAUGUUAUUUCUCUGUGUCUGAGGGCUAGGAGUCCUGGCCAAGUUCAACUAAGUGUCUCUGCCUCACGGUUUCUCACAGGCAGCAAUUAUGUUGGAUCCAGUUCCAAGCUCUGUGGUUGUUUCUUGUAGGUCCUUGGAGCAUAGCGUUGCAGGGUUCUUGCUAUCGGCCUCUCCACAGGGCAACUCAGGCGGCACCAAUGCUUUGCUCGACAGGAGCUCCCAAAGAGAGCGAGACAGCAAGAGACGGUGCACAAAGCCACAGCCCUUUGUAAUGCAGCCCCAGAAGUGACAUCACCAUCACUUUCACCCUAGGGUUAGAACACACAGUCCACACGCAAGACCCUUGAUCACAAAAAUGCCUGCACACCAGGAGGCAGCACUCACCGGGCCCUUCUAAAAGUUGCUUCUCAUGGUUAUUCAGCUAAUAUUCUGCUGCAACAGGCAUUUAUUGGAAGGCUUCAUGGGGACGAAGACUGGAUUCUGGUCACCUUACAUGCUGAUGGACACAUUGGGUUCAUAAGAGGUUGAUGAAGACGACAGAAGAGCUCCAACCCUGAAAAUUUCUCUCACCUGACCUCUAAGCGAUUUCUAACACCGCCCGCUCUCCUCUACACCUAGUAGACCCGAACAAUGUCUUAGCGGAACAAUAUGAAUACAGUUCAAACUGUGGGCAGCUCAAGCACUUUUGUGAACAAUCCAGGUUGAACUGGAAAAUCCUAGAGGAUCCAAAAGUAGAAGAGCAGACAACACUGAUGUCCAUUUAUAACUUGUGACUCCUUCCGGGAAGCUGCGAACAACUUGCUGGGUCUUUCGAGGUAGCUGCAAGGUCUUCUACAACAGCACUCAGGCCUCCCAAGACCCUGGGAAGUCUGCGUCUACAGCUUUCACAUCAAUCUGAGAGACUGCAUAGGCUGGUGUGGGAAACAAAUCGGUUUAAUGAAUCCCAAUGGGUUACAUUCUGGUCAACAGUAUGAACACACUACAUGUCUGAAGUAUUGCAUACUUAAAACAAAUCACAUAGAACAGGGGUAGAGAGGGAAGAACUUGGUAACAUUAAAAAAACUGUCACAAGGGACUAGUGCUGUGGUGCAGCAGGUUGAAGCCCUGGCCUGAAGCACCAGCAUCCCAUGUGGGUACUGGUUCUAGUCCCGGCUGUUCCUCUUCUGAUCCAGCUCUCUGCUGUGGCCUGGGAUAGCAGUGGAAGAUGGCCCAAGUGCUUGGGCCCCUGCACCCACAUGGAAGACCCAGAGGAAGCUCCUGGCUUCGGACUGGCGCAGCUCUGGCCGUUGCGGCCAUCUGGGGGAGUGAACCAGCGGAUGGAGGACCUCUCUGUCUCUACCUCUGUCACUCUUUCAAAUAAAUAAAAUAAAUUUUUUAACUGUCAAAUAAAAGUGAAAUGUCAAUAAAAAACCUGACAGGGACAGAUGUUGAGAAGUAGCUGCUUGGGACUCUUGCAUCUCAUAUCAGAGUGCCUGGUGAGGGUCCUGGCCACCCCACUCACCAUCCAGCCUCUUGCUCACAGGUACCCUGGGAGAUGCCAGGUGAUGGCCCAAGUACUUGGGUCCUUGCUACUCCUGUGGGAGACCUGGAUGGAGCUCCUGGCUUUGGCCUGGCCCAGCCCUGGCUGUGGCAGGCAUUUGGGAAAUGAACCAGCAGCCAGAUCUUUGUCUUUCAAGUAGAGAUAACAAAAAAAUUUUAAAAAACUGGACAAGUACAUGAAGCAAAAUUGAUCACUUUUAAUGUUAAGUCCUGAGCAAAUCAUCAAAAUAGGGGAGCAUUCCAAAAGAAAGCUGGGUAAUUUAGACAAAUAAAAAGUACAAAUGGCCAGUAAAACCCUGAGACAAAUAUUUUACCUCACUAGGGAUCCAGUAGGCAAAUUAAAACAAGAUUCUCCUUUUUGGGAGACAAACUAUCUUUCAUUUUAUAUUUUAUUUUUUUGACAGGCAGAGUGGACAGUGAGAGACAGACAGAAAGGUCUUCCUUUGCCAUUGGUUCACCCUCCAAUGGCUGCUGCGGCCGGCGCAUCGAACUGAUCCAA